GUUCUUUCAUGAUUCUAUGCAUGGUGGUGCAUGGCCGUUCUUAGUUGGUGGAGUGAUUUGUCUGGUUAAUUCCGAUAACGAACGAGACCUCAGCCAUCUAAAUAGCCGUCGCUAGUCUAGCGCUCGCAAGAGUUCGGCUUCUUAGAGGGACCGCCCGCGGGAGCGGGAGGAAGUUUGAGGCGAUAACAGGUCAGUGAUGCCCUUAGAUGCUCUGGGCUGCACGCGCGCUACAAUGACGCACUCAGCGAGGGMCCGGCUUGGCAAGGCCGGGGAACCUGCAACGUGCGUCUUGGUUGGGAUAGAUGAUUGCAAUUCUUCGUCUUGAACUAGGAA
This 333-nucleotide ribosomal RNA is filed under the name Haplosporidium sp. RNAcentral describes it as "SSU rRNA". It matches the Rfam family "Eukaryotic small subunit ribosomal RNA", at positions 1265 to 1630 of the family's 1831-position model. Lineage: Eukaryota; Endomyxa; Ascetosporea; Haplosporida; Haplosporidiidae. The record is from RNAcentral.